This 468-nucleotide ribosomal RNA is filed under the name uncultured bacterium. RNAcentral describes it as "partial 16S ribosomal RNA". It matches the Rfam family "Bacterial small subunit ribosomal RNA", at positions 28 to 507 of the family's 1533-position model. The record is from RNAcentral.
GACGAACGCUGGCGGCGUGCUUAACACAUGCAAGUCGAACGGAAAGGCCCUGCUUUUGUGGGGUGCUCGAGUGGCGAACGGGUGAGUAACACGUGAGUAACCUGCCCUUGACUUUGGGAUAACUUCAGGAAACUGGGGCUAAUACCGGAUAGGAGCUCCUGCUGCAUGGUGGGGGUUGGAAAGUUUCGGCGGUUGGGGAUGGACUCGCGGCUUAUCAGCUUGUUGGUGGGGUAGUGGCUUGCCAAGGCUUUGACGGGUAGCCGGCCUGAGAGGGUGACCGGCCACAUUGGGACUGAGAUACGGCCCAGACUCCUACGGGAGGCAGCAGUGGGGAAUAUUGCACAAUGGGCGGAAGCCUGAUGCAGCAACGCCGCGCGCGGGAUGACGGCCUUCGGGUUGUAAACCGCUUUCGCCUGUGACGAAGCGUGAGUGACGGUAAUGGGUAAAGAAGCACCGGCUAACUACGUG